Molecule: long non-coding RNA, 346 nt
Filed under: Penaeus japonicus
Lineage: Eukaryota; Metazoa; Arthropoda; Malacostraca; Decapoda; Penaeidae
Description: uncharacterized LOC122245156
Source: RNAcentral
GCAAAUGAAAAGAAGGAGGAACAGAAGAGGAAGGACUACUACCGUAUUAGCGAUGAGCAUAAGAGGAAAAGGAAAUGAAAAUGCUGUGGCUGAAAGCAACCGUCCAGCAAGUGACUAGGAUGUUGCAGCUAUGAGCUUCCCAGUUGUCACUAUGCAAUAUUUAGAAAUAUUCACCAAAUAUAUUUAGGUUAAUUAUUAAGCUCAUCAUUCUCUCUCUCUCUCUCAUAUAUUUAGAAAUAUUCACCAAAUAUACUUAGGUUAAUUAUUAAGUUCAUCAUUCUCUCUCUCUCUCAUAUAUUUUGUAUUUGUUUACAAAUGUAAAAAAAUAUAUAAUUUAGAAUUAUUA